AACCCGCCUGCAUGAAGUCGGAAUCGCUAGUAAUCGCGAGUCAGCAUAUCGCGGUGAAUACGUUCCCGGGUCUUGUACACACCGCCCGUCACACCAUGGGAGUUGGCAACACCCGAAGUCGAUGAGCUAACCUUUUAGGAGGCAGUCGCCUAAGGUGGGGUUGAUAACUGGGGUGAAGUCGUAACAAGGUACC
RNAcentral lists this ribosomal RNA (193 nucleotides) under uncultured bacterium. RNAcentral's name for it is "partial 16S ribosomal RNA". It matches the Rfam family "Bacterial small subunit ribosomal RNA", at positions 1309 to 1500 of the family's 1533-position model. The record is from RNAcentral.